CGGCGGAUAGGAAACACUUGGCUGUGUUCACUUUCGACGGUUGGGCGACACGUGUUGUUUUCGGACUACACUGGGCACUAGAGACACGUCUGCACGCUUCGGCACUCCACAGCGAACUGUUCCAACGCG
Molecule: long non-coding RNA, 129 nt
Organism: Bombus impatiens (common eastern bumble bee)
Lineage: Eukaryota; Metazoa; Arthropoda; Insecta; Hymenoptera; Apidae
Exons: 3
Source: RefSeq, a predicted model, not a curated record